UACGUAGGGUGCAAGCGUUGUCCGGAAUUAUUGGGCGUAAAGAGCUCGUAGGCGGUUUGUCGCGUCUGCUGUGAAAACUCGGGGCUUAACUCCGGGCCUGCAGUGGGUACGGGCAGACUAGAGUGCGGUAGGGGAGACUGGAAUUCCUGGUGUAGCGGUGAAAUGCGCAGAUAUCAGGAGGAACACCGGUGGCGAAGGCGGGUCUCUGGGCCAUAACUGACGCUGAGAAGCGAAAGCAUGGGGAGCGAACAGG
This 253-nucleotide ribosomal RNA is filed under the name uncultured bacterium. RNAcentral describes it as "partial 16S ribosomal RNA". It matches the Rfam family "Bacterial small subunit ribosomal RNA", at positions 524 to 776 of the family's 1533-position model. The record is from RNAcentral.